CUUCACCGAACCGAGCAGGGCCGGUGUCUCACGGUCACGGCCGUAGGUCGCCAGGAGCGCCUGUGCCUC
Molecule: non-coding RNA, 69 nt
Filed under: Streptomyces mutabilis
Lineage: Bacteria; Bacillati; Actinomycetota; Actinomycetes; Kitasatosporales; Streptomycetaceae
Source: RNAcentral